RNAcentral lists this ribosomal RNA (464 nucleotides) under uncultured bacterium. RNAcentral describes it as "bacterial SSU rRNA". It matches the Rfam family "Bacterial small subunit ribosomal RNA", at positions 29 to 482 of the family's 1533-position model. The record is from RNAcentral.
AUUGAACGCUGGCGGCAUGCCUUACACAUGCAAGUCGAGCGGCAGCGCGGGGGCAACCCUGGCGGCGAGCGGCGCACGGGUGAGUAAUACAUCGGAACGUGUCCUUUCGUGGGGGAUAACCAGUCGAAAGACUGGCUAAUACCGCAUGAGAUCUCACGAUGAAAGCGGGGGACCCGAGGGUAACUUCGGGCCUCGCGCGAUUGGAGCGGCCGAUGUCGGAUUAGCAGUUGGCGGGGUAAAGCCCACCAAGGCGACGAUCCGUAGCUGGUUUGAGAGAACGACCAGCCACACUGGGACUGAGACACGGCCCAGACUCCUACGGGAGGCAGCAGUGGGAAUAUUGGACAAUGGGCGCAAGCCUGAUCCAGCGAUGCCGCGUGUGUGAAGAAGGCCUGCGGGUUGUAAGCACUUUCAGUAGGGAAGAAAGCCGAGUGCUAAUAUCACUCGGUCUUGACGUUACUUAC